RNAcentral lists this ribosomal RNA (48 nucleotides) under Erysiphe euonymicola. RNAcentral's name for it is "partial 18S ribosomal RNA". It matches the Rfam family "Eukaryotic small subunit ribosomal RNA", at positions 1784 to 1831 of the family's 1831-position model. The record is from RNAcentral. Lineage: Eukaryota; Fungi; Ascomycota; Leotiomycetes; Helotiales; Erysiphaceae.
AAAAGUUGUAACAAGGUUUCCGUAGGUGAACCUGCGGAAGGAUCAUUA